AGCUCUGAGCUUGGGCCCCAAGGGAGUGAGGGUCGGGAUAUGGGGAAAAAAGGUGAGGAGACAAUUUGGUUCUCGUGUCGCUGGGUAAAGUGCGGAGCUGGAGGACGAGAGGGAGGGAGCAGGGAGGGGGAGGGGAGCUGCUGAGGGAUGGGGGAGCCACCGAGAGGAGAGGGAUGGGGGGAAGGGAGGCGGUGGGGGGGCAGGGUCUGGGUGGCAGAAGGAAGCUGGGGAAAGAGAGCGAUCCAGAGAGGGAGGGAGAGAGACAGAGAGAGAGACAAGGAGAAACGGAGAGAGAGAGAGACCCAGAGACCGCGAAACAGAAAUGGGGGAGGGAGAAAAUUGGGGGAGGCAGCGACUGGGAGCAGAAGGAAGUUGGAGAGACACACACACACAGAGAAAUAUCCAGAGAAAGAAGGGGACAGAGACAGAGACCCAAAGAGAAACCAAGAGACAGGGGAAGUAUGCGCACAACGGAAACACUUCUCUUCUAAACUCAGUUGCUCUUGCUUAUAAAGAAGACAUAAACUACCUCCAAUUAAAUGAGAGCAUUGAUGAGAGAAAGGUCUUUGCACAUGGUUCUAGGUGAUCUCUCAGAAGAGGAUCAAGAAGAUAGAUUCCAAACAAGACAGAGUCUCUCAAUGUCCUUGGAGAAGCAAAAUGCCACAUUGUGACAAAGACCUGAGAGUGAGCUACAACUGGCAGCAAAAAACCAGAGACCUCUGUCGAACCGCCACAGGGAAUUGAAUUCUGCUCAACUUGUGGGGCUUGGGAGUAGAUCUCUCACUAGUCCGGCUCCCAGAUGAGGACACAGCCAAGCGACAUCUCGAUUUCAGCCUCGUGGGACCCUGCGCUGAGGUGACGUUAUGCCGUGCUGAACUCCUGAUCCACGGAAACUGCAAAUUAAUAAACAUGUGCUGUUUGUUUUAAGCCA
Molecule: non-coding RNA, 931 nt
Organism: Microcebus murinus (gray mouse lemur)
Lineage: Eukaryota; Metazoa; Chordata; Mammalia; Primates; Cheirogaleidae
Source: RefSeq, a predicted model, not a curated record